AGGUUGUGCCCUUGACUCUGGAAUAAGCGCUGGAAACGGCGUCUAAUACUGGAUACGACCUUCGGAGGCAUCUCCUGGGGGUGGAAAGAACUUCGGUCAAGGAUCAGCUCACGGCCUAUCAGUUAGUUGGUGAGGUAAUGGCUCACCAAGACGACGACGGGUAGCCGGCCUGAGAGGGUGACCGGCCACACUGGGACUGAGACACGGCCCAGACUCCUACGGGAGGCAGCAGUGGGGAAUAUUGCACAAUGGGCGCAAGCCUGAUGCAGCAACGCCGCGUGAGGGACGAAUGCCUUCGGGUUGUAAACCUCUUUUAGCAGGGAAGAAGCGAGAGUGACGGUACCUGCAGAAAAAGCACCGGCUAACUACGUGCCAGCAGCCGCGGUAAUACGUAGGGUGCAAGCGUUGUCCGGAAUUAUUGGGCGUAAAGAGCUCGUAGGCGGUUUGUCGCGUCUGCUGUGAAAUCCCGAGGCUCAACCUCGGGCUUGCAGUGGGUACGGGCAGACUAGAGUGCGGUAGGGGAGAUUGGAAUUCCUGGUGUAGCGGUGGAAUGCGCAGAUAUCAGGAGGAACACCGAUGGCGAAGGCAGAUCUCUGGGCCGUAACUGACGCUGAGGAGCGAAAGCAUGGGGAGCAAACAGGCUUAGAUACCCUGGUAGUCCAUGCCGUAAACGUUGGGAACUAGAUGUGGGGACCAUUCCACGGUCUCCGUGUCGUAGCUAACGCAUUAAGUUCCCCGCCUGGGGAGUACGGCCGCAAGGCUAAAACUCAAAGGAAUUGACGGGGGCCCGCACAAGCGGCGGAGCAUGCGGAUUAAUUCGAUGCAACGCGAAGAACCUUACCAAGGCUUGACAUAUACGAGAACGCGCUGGAGACAGCGAACUCUUUGGACACUCGUAUACAGGUGGUGCAUGGUUGUCGUCAGCUCGUGUCGUGAGAUGUUGGGUUAAGUCCCGCAACGAGCGCAACCCUCGUCCUAUGUUGCCAGCACGUAAUGGUGGGAACUCAUGGGAUACUGCCGGGGUCAACUCGGAGGAAGGUGGGGAUGAGGUCAAAUCAUCAUGCCCCUUAUGUCUUGGGCUUCACGCAUGCUACAAUGGCCGGUACAAUGGGCUGCGAUACCGCAAGGUGGAGCGAAUCCCAAAAAGCCGGUCUCAGUUCGGAUUGAGGUCUGCAACUCGACCUCAUGAACUAGGAGUCGGUAGUAAUUG
This 1210-nucleotide ribosomal RNA is filed under the name Agrococcus sp. RNAcentral describes it as "bacterial SSU rRNA". It matches the Rfam family "Bacterial small subunit ribosomal RNA", at positions 120 to 1344 of the family's 1533-position model. The record is from RNAcentral. Lineage: Bacteria; Bacillati; Actinomycetota; Actinomycetes; Micrococcales; Microbacteriaceae.